CAGGUAUGUAUCGUAAUGGCAAAAUAUAGCGUGAAAAUCCUUAAUUGAAUACUGUUCUUAUCAUUUGAUAGUUCAUUUAUGUUAGAAUUUAUAGCAGAUUUCCAUGUUUUAAUCAUAAUCAAUAUGACUUAUAUCUGUAUUUUCUCCCGAUUCACAUUAAAAAUGUCUGAGAGGUUUUUUUUCAAAAUCAUUUUUGUCAUUACCCGUUUGUCUUUUUGUUUUGUUUCAGUAGACGAUUCGGAAUUUUGACUGACCUGGAAAAGGGUGGGAAAAGGUGGUGUAGUAAAGUUCUUUUAAAUUUGAUCAUUUGAUGUGAAAUGUUUAAACUAUAAUGUAAAACCACAUGUGAACUUAAUUAAUGUUAAUUAUUGCUUUUAAUGUAUAUAAUGUUCCUAAUGAAUAUGUUUAACCAUUUUCCUUACCACCCCCACAUUCGUUGACAUUUGUUAAGGUAGACUGAUCUCUAUAGAUGUCAGAUCAAAAGUUCAAGUUAGGUUAUGUAUUGAAGUUCUUGAAGAAUGUGGUAGGUAGCGAUUCAUUUAUAUCUCGUAUGACAAUUUAAAACAAUUUAAGUAAAAUAACAAG
Molecule: long non-coding RNA, 585 nt
Filed under: Mytilus galloprovincialis (Mediterranean mussel)
Lineage: Eukaryota; Metazoa; Mollusca; Bivalvia; Mytilida; Mytilidae
Source: RNAcentral